GCGGACGCCCCAACCCCGUGGCCCCCUCGAACCCCACGUGCUUCCUAAAAACACUUAGAACCGUUCCAAUACCUUUAGUACCACGCUCGGCUCAGGCCCAUCCUCAGCUCAGAGCGCGGUAGCACUGUCCUCCCGCCCAGGAGGUUUAAGGCCUGGCUAAACUCCGCCCCCCACCGCCCUGGCCAAUCAGGAGCCACGUCCUCCGGCGCGCUCCUUCCCCGCCCCGCCUCCCGUCUCCAUGGGAACGAUCUGAGCGUCUACUCCGCGUCCUGGGGCGUCGGUUUCGGUCCCGCCCGGCUGCGGCCGUUGUUUGCUGGGACAGUCCUUGGGCCGGUCUCCGUCCCUGUCCAGAGGCUCCGUACGUGAGGCGGACUCUCGGGAGCACCGAGCCGGGCGCGGAUAAGGGCGAGGACAGCUGUUGCAGGAACGGGGGCAGAAAAGGAGGACCAGGGGCCGAGAAGCCGCUCUGGCUACGAAAUCUCAGACACCGUUGUAAAUGGGUGCUUCACAGCCGCCCGCCCCACGUUAAAACUGAAGAAGAGGUGCAAGGAGGCGGAAGCAGCUUGGGCCUCGGGACCGAGGGUCCUGUGAUCAGCAAGGGAGGACCAGAGAGGCUCAUGCCUCCGUUUUACAGCUCAGCCUUCUCGACCCUCCACCCUUCCCCAAAAAAGGAGCACAAAGGAGCAAGCAGGGGUCACGCCUUUCCUCACAGUCUGACCCGGGUGAGUAGGGGUCUUGUCUCAUCUCCCUCGACUUCUCCAUGGACUGUGGGAGUAGCUGAAGUGGCUGUGGGGACGGAGGGAGCAGACUGAAUAGAAACCGUUCCUCAUGUGCCUGAGAAGCUUUCGAGCCUCCUCUUCAGCAGGCCCUGCCUCCUGCCCAGGGCCCUUUCUAACAUUUUUCCCACUUACUCAGCCACUUAGGUCUGCUAUAUAGUCCAUACUGCUCUUGGUGACCAGAGAUAAAUAAGCAUGAGAACGUCUUUCCUGGAAGCUGCUGUGUGACACAGCAGGUGAAAGAUCUGACAUCGCCACAGGUGUGGCACCUGCAGCUCCGGUUCCAUCCCUGGCCCAGGAACGUCCACAUGCUGUGGACGUGGCCAAAGGAAAGAAGGCCUUUCCUUCGCCUCGGGGAAAUCAACCACAUGAGGUUAAUAAGAAUUUCUAAAAUUAUCACACAUUAAACAGUUCCAAAAUUAAGUGUCACUUUUAAGCAAAAGGCAGGAACAGGCAUUCAGAUUUGAGUAAAACCAUUGUGAACUGGCGGAUGUCAUUCCCGACAGGAAGCCCAUCAUUUAGUCGCAGGCAGAACAUGAGGAACAAACGAGGAAACCAGGCUAGUUGCAGGAGAGACUAAGUGUGAAUGGGUGAGGAAAGGCCGCGUUGCGGAGGCUCUGGUUUCUUACUCUGUGUACCACUCAGAUUCCGGGGCACACCAACCAGAGGCAGGCAUUGCUGACAUCCAGAUGGAUUUACUUCGUCUUUUAUCUAAUAAUAUACAUACGUACUCACUAAUCCAUACAAAUACUAGCAUGUAUGCACACCAGUACACAUAUGUACAAAUAUGCACAUUUACUUAAGAAAUAUAUAUAUAUAUAUAUAGAAGGAGAUUAGUAUAUAUAACACGUUUUGAAUCAGACAAAUAGGCUCCAGAGAGCAGCAACGUUCCUGGUGUGUAGAACUAUGCCUGACAUAUGGUGAGCAUUUGUGAAUAUUUGCUGAAUGUAUGAAUGGCUCGUAUAUGUGUAUUUUGCAUUUAACACAUAAAAUGGACAUUUUUCCAAGUAUGUUUUGGUGGCAUGAGUUUUAAGUG
Molecule: long non-coding RNA, 1812 nt
Filed under: Sus scrofa (pig)
Lineage: Eukaryota; Metazoa; Chordata; Mammalia; Artiodactyla; Suidae
Description: lncRNA (ENSSSCG00030005593.1)
Source: RNAcentral